CUGGCGGCGUGCCUAACUCAUGCAAGUCGAACGAGAAAGUGGAGCAAUCCAUGAGUAAAGUGGCGACCGGGUGAGUAACACGUGACUAACCUGCCUUCGAGUGGGGGAUAACCUCGGGAAACCGGGGCUAAUACCGCAUAAUGCCGAGAGGUUAAAGGAGCAAUUCGCUUGAAGAGGGGGUCGCGGCUGAUUAGCUAGUUGGCGGGGUAACGGCCCACCAAGGCGAUGAUCGGUAGCCGGCCUGAGAGGGCGCACGGCCACACUGGAACUGAAACACGGUCCAGACUCCUACGGGAGGCAGCAGUGGGGAAUUUUGCGCAAUGGGGGAAACCCUGACGCAGCAACGCCGCGUGGAGGAUGAAGUCCUUUGGGACGUAAACUCCUUUCGACCGGGACGAUAAUGACGGUACCGGUGGAAGAAGCCCCGGCUAACUUCGUGCCAGCAGCCGCGGUAAUACGAGGGGGGCAAGCGUUGUUCGGAAUUAUUGGGCGUAAAGGGCGCGUANGCGGUGCGGUAAGUCACCUGUGAAACCUCUGGGCUUAACUCAGAGCCUGCAGGCGAAAC
RNAcentral lists this ribosomal RNA (565 nucleotides) under uncultured bacterium. Its description in RNAcentral is "bacterial SSU rRNA". It matches the Rfam family "Bacterial small subunit ribosomal RNA", at positions 36 to 633 of the family's 1533-position model. The record is from RNAcentral.